This 292-nucleotide long non-coding RNA is filed under the name Ricinus communis (castor bean). RNAcentral's name for it is "long non-coding RNA (RCOM_LNC001234)". The record is from RNAcentral. Lineage: Eukaryota; Viridiplantae; Streptophyta; Magnoliopsida; Malpighiales; Euphorbiaceae.
AUCGGGCCUGUAAAGAUUUUGCUUUGUUGAGACAAGUUCAUCAAUCAAAGUGCGAUGGCAACAAUUGCAACUUUCCAUGUAGGCAUUUUUAAGGGCAAGGAGUCGAUUGGUGAUGGUGGUGACUUGAUCCUUCCUAGUUUGGCUAGAGAGAGAACAACAAUCGUGCGACACUCUCUCUCUCUUCAACAACUCAUUAUUUGGCAAUACAUAGGUACAACUUCUGUUAACAGUGGGUUUAAGAGGUUAGGAACAAUGUUUAGUGGUAAUUUGAGUGAAAGACAGUAACAAAGGU